GCCUUUGGAGACAUUUAGAAGAACAAUACCCAAGAAAUCUUUGUGUAAAGAGCAGACCAGGCAGCUGAAGAGACGCCACAGGAUUUCAGAGGAUCACCACAUCUUUGCAAGUCCUUCAGCUGAACAAGCCCACCUUUUGAACAGUUGAAUCCAGGCUUGAUACAUCAACCAAACUUCAGAGGAGUUGUUCUUGCCUCACACCAAUGUUGAGACGAAAGAGAAGCAAGUUAUUCAUGUUUUAAUGUUGUUUUGUGCCAGAUGUUUUGCUGGUAGAAAUCCAUAGCUCCACAGGCACCCAUUUCUUCAGGAUCUGGAAUGUCUGACACAAUUUCUGUCUCCAUUCUGGACGGUCUGUGAAGGAAGCUGCUUUAUUUUGCAAUAUUGAAUAUUCAUGCUGGGAAGUUAUAAGGAAAAACAAAAUAAUGAGAGACAGGGUCUCUAAUAAGCUUCCUGUCACAUGAGGCUCUGGUUCUGGUGAAGCAGAUGUGGUUGCUGACUUGUUUCCAAAAUGUUUGUGGAGUGGUGAUUAGAUUCUGUCAUACUGAUGUUAUAUCUCUGUGAUCUCAUUCAAUACAAGUAGUUCUGCAAACAGUGAAAUAUUUUUUUCCUACGGAUUUAUAUCUUGGAUUGUGUUUCUGCAUAAAUUCUCUGAUGUUUAAUGGGGAUUGAGUUCAUUUUAGCCUGUUUCUUCAAUGAGAGAUGAGUAAUCUGUCUUGACUUGGCUGCCUACUUUCACAAAACUUGCAGGAAUUAAAUAUCACAAGUAUUUAAAAUUCGAGUGGGAAUUAUGAACCAGUUCCAGAGUUAUUUGGAGCCAACUCAUAUAAACAAACAUAAACAUGAGUCUCAUUUUCUUUACAAAAGCAACAGGUAAGAAGCAAUCUUUUAUUACUUCGUCCUUCUAUUUUACCUGCUUGAUUCUAUUUUUUUAUUAGUGAUCAAUCAUAUAAGAUAUGCUUUAUUUAUAAAGCUGUGUGAAAUAUGAGACUUGUUUGCCACACUGAAUAGAUAUAAAACCAUCAUUAAUUUAUACUUAUUAUGGGCCACACAAGAGAUGACAUUGCUUUUUAUUGUCCUUGCCGGAGCAGGGGAAAGAGGUGACAUGGAUUUUAACUUACAUGUUUGCACAGGCAAGUGCAGAGAAAGAACAUUAUUUUUCCUUUAGAAUUCUCACAGUUCUGGUUUGGAAAGGGAGAAAGGAAACCUAGAAUUGAAAAUGAUCUUUUGUGUUGCUGAGUCCAGUCUUCUGCUUCUGCAGAGAGCCAAGUUCCCAGUCUUUUUCAUAAAACAGGAUGUGCUAUUCAAAAAUAUGCUCCUUUCUCUUUGUCAUCCCUCCUAUCCUCCCAGUUUCCCACUUUCUUUGGGUGUUUGCUCCAGAAUUUACUUCCUUUGAUAGGAAGAAACCCUUUAAUUUCCAUAAUCAGUUUAUGCAUGUUUGCUCUUGUUCUGUGUUGUUCUAUGUUCUUGUUCUUCUUUCCUAAAAAGUUCAUUCCUGUAGGUAGCCAUGUCUGUAUAGGGAAUAAGGAAAGAAGACCCUUCCAAGAGGACAGAAAAUCUACACAAAUCUGUUGGAAACGAGGCUUCAACAGCACUUAGCAUAAAAUGUUUGUAUGUCUAAUACUCCCAGGUUUUUCUGGGACUGGCAAAUGAAUUAUUUAGCAAUGGAAACUGCACAUGCAUCUGCUUGGCUUCUGUGGGUUCAUGUUAUAGAAAACUGUAGGAGCGUUGCAGAGAUCACAACUACCCAACUUUGUGUCAUAGACCCUGUGUCUUCACAGGCCUCAGAAAUUCCCACUUAGCUGAGUAGAGGAGAACAGAGUGGCAAGUCUCUGCUUUUAUUGCUAAUGCUUUGUAAAAUAACCUUUAUGGUCUGUAGGUUCAGUCCUGUGCAGGUCUGUGUGACUUAGGAUUUAUUACACUGCAUUUCAUAUUUGUGCAUCUCUCUCCAGUUCCUGUAGAGGAAAGAAAUGAAAGGUCUAAAAGGUUAGCUUGGUGUUAAUAGAUCGAGAUAUACCCAAUAUUUAACUUCCCUGGACAAAGGAACUGCUUCAAGGGCUGGCUUGUCCUGUUACAGUGUGACAGUGUCAGCCCUGUGUGCUGCAAACCUUCACCCAACCUUAGAAAUAAAAAAUAAAAAAGCCAAGUGUCUGCUCAAUGGAAAACAGAUGGAGUUUUCAUUAGACAUUACUUUUAAUGAUCUGCUUUAAAAGUAAAGAUACACCAUUCCAAGCAGAAGAAGGGCCUCCUAAUAGCUCUGUUUGGGUCCCAGGCUCAUUAUCUGAGCUACAGAUAAGCAAGAUUGCAAGACCUUUGAAUCAUUGGAACCUCCAGUUAAGCUUGCCGACCAUUAUUAGAAUUCCAAACACAGCAGAACUAUUUUGGAGCCUUACCAAUAUUUUUUCCUGAAGAUGUAUCUUUAUUUAAUGAUUCAGAGUUAUUAUGAUGGGCCUGGCAGUCAGUUGCUCGGUUUCUGGAGUAUUACCAUUUAACCUAGGUCAGGAUAAAAAUCUGGGAAUAUUCAUUGCAGGGCAGACCUUUUGCAUCUUUGAGGGCCUGUUCUUCACAGUCCACCUUGGUGUGACUCCCCCAAAUGGUGUUGCUGGCUGUGAGAGGUGACCCCAGCAGUCUAGAAAGCCUGAAGAUCCUUCCUAAAAAGAUAAAGCCUGCAUUCUGUGCCUGUAGGUACUAAAUCAACUUUUGGCAUGUGAAGAACAAUGCAAUCCCAGGGUUUUAGGCAUAGAUGGCUGCUGCCAAACCACAAGAAAUGCUUUUGUCUGGAACUCAUGGAGCAGUAACAUAGCAAUGGAGGGUGUACCCUUGUCUGUUAUUCCCUCUGAGCAAAUUCUCAGAGACAUGUUACCAGGAUUCAGAUAGAUUUCAUGGAACUAGGAGAGAAAUGGGCUUUAAUUUUCUUAUAAAGGGAGGAAGAGACAAUAGAACUCAGCAAAACAUGUGGCAAGUUUUGUUUCUGUCUGAGAGUUAUGCAAGCAAAAGCCAGUGCCCAUCCUCAGACAGCACUCUCCCAAGUGAGACUCACGUGAGGGAACUUGUGUUACUUUUCUUCUUAAAGCCUUCAAAAUUGCUUUAUUUCCUCUGCAUAUGUGUAAAUACAGCCUAUGUCUUCAACUGAUCUCCAGCUGGUGAGUAUGAGUCAGAAUCCAAACUUCUCAAAGUUCAAGGAAAUUUAGAGCUGAUGUUCUGGUUCACUGUCACCUCUGUAGAAAAAUACCUGCAUGAAUAAUGAGAAAUAAGCCUCUUGUUUUCAUAAGAGGGACCAGAAGGAUCAAGUUCAGCAAAAGUCUAUCACAAACUGUUAAUUAAGCACUGUUCUGAAACCAGGUUUUUCCCACUCUGUUAGAAACCUUCUUCAAUUUCCAGACUAGAGUUAUUAGUGGCUGCUUUGUUCACAUAUAUUAAUGUGCCAAAGCUGUCUUUUAGUUUAGAUUAUACACAAACAGAAUGUGAGUAUUAGGUUUCCUCUGCUUUUUGUCUCUUUCAGGGCAAAAGAAAAAGAAGAGCUUAAAUACAAGGUCACCUUGUGUUCAAGGUCCAGUUACUUCCUCACACAAUUGAAGGGUGGGGGGAGAACAAGCAAAAGGAGCAGAUGACAAAGAUGACAAGAGGGCUUUAUAUUUAGAAAUCAAGCAAAUGCCUUCUCUCCCUGUGUUACUAGAGUGUCUUGGGAUCCAGUUUUUGAGAAAAUGUGUUUAUUCUCUUUCAUUGUACCCCUAUUUUAUGCCUUCAACUUGGAGCAUAGAUAUGCUCCUCCCCUUGUUCUCCUUAUAUGUCCCAGUUUACGUACUCCGCCCUUGCUCCUUCCCAAUUGCUCCCCUUGUUCCAGCAAGUUCUGCUCCUGCCCCAUAAAAGGCAGGAGCCACGUUAAUAAAGUGUUCCAUUUUGCACCCUACAUCGAAGUGUGCGAGCCCUCGUUCCUCUCGGGCUGUCGAGGACGCCGAGAGAGCCUGUUUGCCACAAGAGUGAAAAAACAAUACAAUUGUUUCUUUCUUCUUGUCUCAUUGAGUGGCCUUUGCCUGGUUUAGUGUAGCUUUGUGAGCGUGG
This is a long non-coding RNA of Lepidothrix coronata (blue-crowned manakin), 4059 nucleotides long. RefSeq lists it as uncharacterized. The record is from RefSeq and is a predicted model, not a curated record. NCBI's taxonomy places the organism in Eukaryota, Metazoa, Chordata, Aves, Passeriformes, Pipridae. The transcript has 3 exons.